GUACGCGAGCUGGGUUUAGAACGUCGUGAGACAGUUCGGUCCCUAUCUGCCGUGGGCGUUUGAGAGUUGAGAGGGGUUGCUCCUAGUACGAGAGGACCGGAGUGAACGAACCGCUGGUGUUCGGGUUGUCAUGCCAAUGGCACUGCCCGGUAGCUACGUUCGGAACGGAUAACCGCUGAAAGCAUCUAAGCGGGAAGCCGGCCACAAGAUGAGUCAUCCCUUGGACUUUAAGUCCACUAAAGGGUCGUUGGAGACCACAACGUUGAUAGGUGAGGUGUGGAAGCGCUGUGAGGCGUUAAGCUAACUCAUACUAAUUGCCCGAGAGGCUUAACCAUACAACGCCAAAG
Molecule: ribosomal RNA, 347 nt
Filed under: Marivirga lumbricoides
Lineage: Bacteria; Pseudomonadati; Bacteroidota; Cytophagia; Cytophagales; Marivirgaceae
Description: bacterial LSU rRNA
Rfam family: Bacterial large subunit ribosomal RNA
Source: RNAcentral